GGUGAGGUAGCUCAGGCGGUUAGAGCGACGGAUUCAUAACCCGUAGGUCGAGGGUUCGAUUCCCUCCCUCACCACCA
Molecule: transfer RNA, 77 nt
Filed under: Hydrogenophilus thermoluteolus
Lineage: Bacteria; Pseudomonadati; Pseudomonadota; Hydrogenophilia; Hydrogenophilales; Hydrogenophilaceae
Also listed under: 5 other names
Description: tRNA-Met
Rfam family: tRNA
About the family: Transfer RNA (tRNA) molecules are approximately 80 nucleotides in length. Their secondary structure includes four short double-helical elements and three loops (D, anti-codon, and T loops).
Source: RNAcentral